UAACACAUGCAAUUCAAACGGCAGCGGGGGAUAGCUGGCUAUCCUGCCGGCGAGUGGCGGACGGGUGAGUAAUGCAUGGGGAGCUGCCCAAUCGAGGGGGAUAACAACUGGAAACGGUUGCUAAUACCGCAUACGCCCUGCGGGGAAAAGGUGGGGACCUUCGGGCCUACCGCGAUUGGAUGCACCCUUGUGGGAUUAGCUAGUUGGUGAGGUAACGGCUCACCAAGGCGACAAUCUCUAGCUGGUCUGAAAGGAUGACCAGCCACACUGGAACUGAAACACGGUCCAAACUCCUACGGGAGGCAGCAUUGGGGAAUAUUGCACAAUGGGGGAAACCCUGAUGCACCCUUGCCGCGUGUGUGAAAAAGGCCUUCGGGUUGUAAAGCACUUUCAGUGGGGAGGAAGGGCUGAUGACUAAUAUUCAUCAGCAUUGACGUUACCCACAAAAAAAGCACCGGCUAACUCCGUG
This 469-nucleotide ribosomal RNA is filed under the name uncultured bacterium. RNAcentral's name for it is "bacterial SSU rRNA". It matches the Rfam family "Bacterial small subunit ribosomal RNA", at positions 49 to 507 of the family's 1533-position model. The record is from RNAcentral.